UACGGAGGGUGCGAGCGUUGUCCGGAAUUAUUGGGCGUAAAGGGCUCGUAGGCGGUUCGUCACGUCGGGAGUGAAAACUCGGGGCUUAACCCCGAGCCUGCUUCCGAUACGGGCAGACUAGAGGUAGGCAGGGGAGAGCGGAACUCCUGGUGUAGCGGUGGAAUGCGCAGAUAUCAGGAAGAACACCGGUGGCGAAGGCGGCUCUCUGGGCCUUACCUGACGCUGAGGAGCGAAAGCGUGGGUAGCGAACAGG
This 253-nucleotide ribosomal RNA is filed under the name uncultured bacterium. RNAcentral's name for it is "partial 16S ribosomal RNA". It matches the Rfam family "Bacterial small subunit ribosomal RNA", at positions 524 to 776 of the family's 1533-position model. The record is from RNAcentral.